This is a long non-coding RNA of Trematomus bernacchii (emerald rockcod), 1642 nucleotides long. RefSeq lists it as uncharacterized. Lineage: Eukaryota; Metazoa; Chordata; Actinopteri; Perciformes; Nototheniidae. The transcript is spliced from 6 exons. The record is from RefSeq and is a predicted model, not a curated record.
GAAAUGAGGGACGAGUUGUGUUUUUAUUUUAUCUGAUUAUCAGGAAAAGAGAAGUUUGAAGAGCGCCGCAGAGAGGGGAGAGGAGAGGGCUUGUAAAGAACGAGAGGGGAGGAGAGAGAGAGAGAGAGAGAGGGAGGGAGAGAGGAAGAGGAGGGAGAGAGGAAGAGGAAGGGGGAGACAGAGAAGAAGAGAGACAGACGGACGGAUGGAGGAGAAGCAUGCAGCCGCGAAGAGGAGGAGAAACAAAGCGUGUUGACGGAGGAAGUGAACAUGUGCUCAGCAGACGGAUCCAGCAGAAGGAGACUGAGGAGUCUGAACACCGACUGAUUUCACUCCGCAACACCCAGGAAUCCAGAGUCAACUCUUCGUGAAGCACAUCAGCCGAGAACCAGAGCUCCGUCCUGCAGUGACCAGAACUGAACGGAGGACACACUUAAAAGAAAAGACAGAAAAACUGAGGAAAGGAAGAAGAAGAAGAAGAAGAAGAAGAAGAAGGGGGGGGUUCCCUCAUUCCAAGCUCAGCGCCGGGAGGAAACUCUCACCCAGACGGGUUGGCUGGUUCUGCAGAGAUGGGUCCAGAUAAACAUCCAUGAGUUCCCAGAGGUAUUCCAAAGAAAGAUGGGAGUCUUCAUGUGCGUCACGUCUCGUGUCUCUGUGGCUGCUGUCAGUUGCUCAGUAGGCAGUGUAGAUCCUGUGUAGAAAUCAGCAGCUACAUCUGGCUACUGGGUCUCUGACGGCUCUGCCUACUUCCUGGUCGAGCCAUACACGCUCCUCUCUCAUUGGCUGGUGGCGCAUUCCAACUCCUCUGAUUAGCUGUGAAGACAGGAGUGGUGGGGGCUUCAUCCUGUGACCCCCACAGACAGGAUGUUCUCUGUGUCACAACUCCACAAGGGGCCCUUGUCAAGGCUUUUUGUGGGUUUUCUUUCACUUCUUCCUCUUCCGCCAUUCUUUUAAACUCUUCCCCCCUCAAGGUCCUCUUUGUGUGAAAUGUCCUAGCAGUCACAUCGAUUUCAAGAAGUUACUUUGGUGAAAGAGACGCAUUUAAGGUGACAAUUUAAACUUUUAUGUAGAGAAAACAUAGAUAAAACAUAAAAUAAAUACUGUGUUAGCGACCUGUCAAUCACAAGGUAGCCCCGCCUUAAGCAUACACUACUUUAUUUUACUCUAAAUAUGACCAUAAAUCACAAAAUGAACGUCAUGCUGUAUUAAGAAGAUUUCAAACUGGAUAUAUAGAACAUUAACUUGAUAGGAAAAUGUGUACUGAUGUAAUAAAUCAAGUGAGAAGUUGGAUAAUUUUCUCGUGGACUUCUAUAGAUUUGCUAGAUAUUACAAAGAAUGAAGGUUUGGUUGUAUUCUGUUUGCUAUUCAGAACAUGGAGGUUGAGAAGCAUUCACUCAUGCAUGUUUGAAAGGCCUUCAAGGUGAAAGAAACGACCCUUUGCUUUGUCCUGAACCUGGCAUACAAUGUAGAUUUCUGUGUGGUUUAUUUCUACAGCUACAUUGUCUGCUGGGUUUCUGGCUAGCAAUAUAUGCAGCAAAAACAUAACCAUUAAUUAUAAAUAAGAAGGUAAGUAUUCAUCAGUUCUGUCAAUGUGCCUCGACUAACUGACCCUGAUGAUUCAAUAAAAAAAAUGUUAAGACCA